Long non-coding RNA from Ylistrum balloti, 529 nucleotides. RefSeq lists it as uncharacterized. Lineage: Eukaryota; Metazoa; Mollusca; Bivalvia; Pectinida; Pectinidae. The record is from RefSeq and is a predicted model, not a curated record. The transcript has 2 exons.
UGUUCUCUUUGACUACAAGAUCCAGGGGUGGAGGUAUAUCUCUGUUAGACUCUUCUCACUAUGACUACAAGAUCCAGGGGUGGAGGUAUAUCUAUGUGAGCCCCUGUUCUCUUUGACUACAAGAUCCAGGGGUGGAGGUAUAUCUCUGUUAGACUCUUCUCACUAUGACUACCUGAUCCAGGGGUGGAGGUAUAUCUAUGUGAGCCCCUGCUCACUCUGAAUUUAUUUAGCAUGAUUUUUUUCUUUCCUUGCAAUAUUAAAAUGUAGAACCCUUCAAAAAUAACAACCUUUAUUACAGUUGUAUGACAAUAUCUACAGUAGUUACACAGGACUUUAUUCAUUCAAUUUAAAACAUUUUUUGACGUUUUCCGAUUUUGCUUGAUUAGUUUCUUGAAGAAAUUGUAGAAAUCUGAUACGAUAGAUAAUUAUUUUGUAAAAUAAGAAAAGAUAUUACCUUGUUAAAUAUGUCCUGUACCAUGAGGUGUAAUAAGCACAAUCUACAGAUGAAAUUAAAGACAUUAUUUGUACA